CAAAGAAAAAGGCAAACCCGUUGAAAAGCGGGGACGCAAAGCGAUGGGUCUAAGGCUUUUGCUAAGACUGCCAAGCUGCCAUA
Molecule: non-coding RNA, 83 nt
Filed under: Desulfitobacterium metallireducens
Lineage: Bacteria; Bacillati; Bacillota; Clostridia; Eubacteriales; Desulfitobacteriaceae
Also listed under: 1 other name
Description: c-di-GMP sequence
Rfam family: c-di-GMP-I riboswitch aptamer
About the family: GEMM was predicted in a large-scale screen for bacterial structured RNA regulatory elements. Genes associated with GEMM are involved in a diverse array of functions, including chemotaxis regulation, signal transduction, secretion and chitin.
Source: RNAcentral